Long non-coding RNA from Amphimedon queenslandica, 1060 nucleotides. RefSeq lists it as uncharacterized. Lineage: Eukaryota; Metazoa; Porifera; Demospongiae; Haplosclerida; Niphatidae. The record is from RefSeq and is a predicted model, not a curated record. The transcript is spliced from 2 exons.
UGUGGCCCAAAUUGUUUUAGUACAAUGUCCAUCAAUCACAUGACUCUAGCAGGACUGAUCGGUGAUGGCAAUUUACAGAAUGGCUUCAUUGUUGGAGAGGACAAUACUGACGUGUGUAGUAACUAUGUGUGGUUGUUUACACGAACAUAAAAGAAUGAAAGAUAGUAAAUACUUAAGUAGAGUAACGUGUUAAUUGGCUUGAUAUCAUAAUAUGAAGCUGUGUUGCUCUACAACCCUGUGUUUAAUGAUGAUUGAUAUUGCUAUUAUCUAACAAAUUUUAGCCUAAGUGCCAAAAUUGUACUAUACACAAUAACAGGUCAUAGACAUGUGUGGAAGCAAGUUUUCCAAACAUACCGGUAUAGAUUAGUAUUCUCACUGACAUUGAGGAAUAAACUGAAAAUGAUAUUUUUGAACAGUACAAAUAAUUUACAUUACAUCAUUUCAUCCAGUCAUUAGUAAUAAGCUGUAAACACAUUUUGGUGUGUCCCUACUGAGUGGACUGUUUAUUCUAGGCAUACUAUGUAAGGAUGUCUGUGUAGUAAUAAAGUGAAGCAUUUCUUGGGUUCUUCACACUAAUGAGUAAUAAUAAAAACACAUUCCUAAUCCUUAUCACACUAGACGGGAGCCUAGCCAGUUGAGACUACUCAUCAAAUUUACUCUAUUUUCUGUCCUACUACUGACCACAAGACUGAUUUUCUAAUUAUGGCUGCAGUAUUGGGAAGGACUCUGGUACAGAUAAAAAAUGUAGGCAGAUCAGUCAGCGUACCCAAUGAUCCAAUAGCCAGGCUCAUGUACUACUUUGAUUGUGUCUGCACUUGCGUUGAACCCGAUAGUGACUACACUAUACGUCGCCUUAGAGAUUAUCGAAAUUAUCAUCGAUUGACCAGCGAAGAAGAGGCCCAACUCAUAGUCCUCUGUCUUGCUCUCAGUCCUGAUAACUUGAUUGGAUCAGUAUUUCAUCCAGUGAAUGACUGUGGAUCAUCUACAAACAAGUUUGUUGAGAUAAGUGCCGUCAAAACAGACCUUCUUGUGACCAAAUCUCUCCUCAUUGGAGGACAGC